GCUGUGACUUACAUUACAGGGUGUCCACCGAUAGCGUUCUGAUUAGGAAUCCGCUGCAGAACGAAAGAUGGAUUAGUAAAUUGCAAAGGAUUAAUAACCAGUUUAAGGAUGAGCUGGAUUAUAAAGACUAUACUAUCCAACAACUUAAACAGGAUAAUGCAACUGUGAUAGAAGAGUUAAGAAAAGAACUGGCUGACAAAGAUGACUUUAUAAAGGAAUUAAAACAACGCAUUAACCACAGUAGCCCUCAGUGUUUAGCUCUAUAGACACAGGAAAAACCUUUACUUGAGAGAAAGGACACAAGUAGAAGGAACAUCUGCACUAAAUGAGCAAGGUAAGUGAUUAUAUUU
RNAcentral lists this long non-coding RNA (350 nucleotides) under Coturnix japonica (Japanese quail). RNAcentral describes it as "lncRNA (ENSCJPG00005018921.1)". The record is from RNAcentral. Lineage: Eukaryota; Metazoa; Chordata; Aves; Galliformes; Phasianidae.